This 67-nucleotide small RNA is filed under the name Flavobacterium enshiense DK69. RNAcentral's name for it is "Flavobacterium sp. DK69 Flavo-1 RNA". It matches the Rfam family "Flavo-1 RNA". The record is from Rfam by way of RNAcentral. Lineage: Bacteria; Pseudomonadati; Bacteroidota; Flavobacteriia; Flavobacteriales; Flavobacteriaceae.
CCAUAGCCCCGAUGGGAGUGACAUCCCCCGCCGAAAAGCGGGGAUAUAGCGGACAGCGGGAACGACG